GGAGAACUUGCCCUACGCUGGAGAAUAAUCUCGGGAAACUGAGGACAAUGCUCCAUAGCCUCGCCGUCCUGGAACGGUGGUGAGGUGAAAGCUCCGGCGGCGUAGGAUAGCUCUGCGGCCUAUCAGGUUGUAGCGAGGGUAACGUCCUCGCUAGCCUACGACGGGUAUGGGUGUUGGGAGACAUCGCCCAGAGAUGGAUUCUGAGACACGAAUCCAGGCCCUACGGGGCGCAGCAGGCGCGAAAACUGCACAAUGUGGGAAACCACGAUGCGGGAAACCCAAGUGCCAGCGCUAUGCGUUGGCUGUCCUCCAGUGUUCGUAACUGGGGAAGAAAGUGCUGGGUAAGACGGGUGCCAGCCGCCGCGGUAAUACCCGCAGCACAAGUGGUGGUCAUUAUUAUUGGGCCUAAAGCGUCCGUAGCUGGCUUGUUAGAUGCCUGGGUAAAUCGAUGCGCUCAACGUAUCGAACUCCGGGUAGACCGGCAAGCUUGGGACCGGGAGAGGCGUGAGCUACUCGAGGGGUAGGGGUAAAAUCCUGUAAUCCUUCGGGGAGGACCAGUGGCGAAGGCGUCACGCUAGAACGGCUCCGACAGUGAGGGACGAAGCCCUGGGGCGCAAACCGGAUUAGAUACCCGGGUAGUCCAGGGUGUAAACGCUGCAGACUUGGUGUCGGUGAUCCUACGAGGGUUGCCGGUGCCGUAGAGAAGUUGUUUAGUCUGCCGCCUGGGGAGUACGGUCGCAAGACUGAAACUUAA
RNAcentral lists this ribosomal RNA (754 nucleotides) under uncultured archaeon. RNAcentral's name for it is "bacterial SSU rRNA". It matches the Rfam family "Archaeal small subunit ribosomal RNA", at positions 102 to 859 of the family's 1478-position model. The record is from RNAcentral.